GACGUAGGAUGCGAGCGUUGUUCGGAUUUAUUGGGCGUAAAGCGUGCGUAGGCGGUCAUCUAAGUCUGGUGUUAAAGCUAGAGGCUCAACCUCUGUGAUGCCCUGGAUACUGGGUGACUUGAGUGCGGUAGGGGAAGGUAGAAUUCCGAGUGUAGCGGUGAAAUGCGCAGAUAUCAGGAGGAACACCGGUGGCGAAGGCGGGUCUCUGGGCCGAUACUGACGCUGAGGAGCGAAAGCGUGGGGAGCGAACAGG
This 253-nucleotide ribosomal RNA is filed under the name uncultured bacterium. RNAcentral's name for it is "partial 16S ribosomal RNA". It matches the Rfam family "Bacterial small subunit ribosomal RNA", at positions 524 to 776 of the family's 1533-position model. The record is from RNAcentral.